This 60-nucleotide microRNA precursor is filed under the name Anolis carolinensis (green anole). Its description in RNAcentral is "Aca-Mir-181-P2b_pre stem-loop". Lineage: Eukaryota; Metazoa; Chordata; Lepidosauria; Squamata; Anolidae. The record is from RNAcentral.
AACAUUCAUUGCUGUCGGUGGGUUUUAGGUUCAGUCAGCUCUCUGACCAAUGAAUGCAAA